CAAAUUUGAAAUCUGGCCCUUGGGUCCGAGUUGUAAUUUGCAGAGGAUGCUUUUGGUGCGGUGCCUUCCGAGUUCCCUGGAACGGGACGCCUUAGAGGGUGAGAGCCCCGUACGGUUGGCCACCAAGCCUGUGUAAAGCUCCUUCGACGAGUCGAGUAGUUUGGGAAUGCUGCUCAAAAUGGGAGGUAUAUUUCUUCUAAAGCUAAAUACUGGCCAGAGACCGAUAGCGCACAAGUAGAGUGAUCGAAAGAUGAAAAGCACUUUGAAAAGAGGGUUAAAUAGCACGUGAAAUUGUUGAAAGGGAAGGAUUUAUGACCAGACUUUUUCUGGGGGGAUCAUCCGGUGUUCUCACCGGUGCACUUCCCCCAGUGGAGGCCAGCAUCGGUUUCUGCCGGGGGAUAAAAGCUUCGGGAAUGUGGCUCCUUCGGGAGUGUUAUAGCCCGUUGCAUAAUACCCUGGCGGGGACCGAGGUUCGCGCAUUGCAAGGAUGCUGGCGUAAUGGUUAUUAAUCACCCGUCUUGAAACA
This 526-nucleotide ribosomal RNA is filed under the name Arthrinium sp. 12.6. RNAcentral describes it as "eukaryotic LSU rRNA". It matches the Rfam family "Eukaryotic large subunit ribosomal RNA", at positions 110 to 661 of the family's 3401-position model. The record is from RNAcentral. Lineage: Eukaryota; Fungi; Ascomycota; Sordariomycetes; Amphisphaeriales; Apiosporaceae.